GUCACCUAGGGACCUUGUUAAAAUGCAGAUUCUGAUUCAGUGGAUGGGGCCUGAGAGUCUGCAUUUCUAGCAAGUCCCAGGUAAGCUGG
Molecule: microRNA precursor, 89 nt
Filed under: Loxodonta africana (African savanna elephant)
Lineage: Eukaryota; Metazoa; Chordata; Mammalia; Proboscidea; Elephantidae
Description: mir-544 microRNA precursor family
Rfam family: mir-544 microRNA precursor family
Source: Rfam by way of RNAcentral